UGGGAUGUAGCUCAGUGGUACAGCAUGUGCUUAGCACGCGCUCAAGGCCCUGGGUUCAAUCCCAGUACCAAAA
Molecule: transfer RNA, 73 nt
Filed under: Marmota monax (woodchuck)
Lineage: Eukaryota; Metazoa; Chordata; Mammalia; Rodentia; Sciuridae
Description: tRNA.Ala
Rfam family: tRNA
About the family: Transfer RNA (tRNA) molecules are approximately 80 nucleotides in length. Their secondary structure includes four short double-helical elements and three loops (D, anti-codon, and T loops).
Source: RNAcentral